CCCUAUUUCUCUCACAAAAGCAGGAAGAAAGCAUCGAACACGAACGACUGACUUUUAAUCUUGUGAACGACUUCGAAUAUACUCUUAAUCAUGCCUAGCAAGUGUGUAUGCUGCCAAGAGGGAAAUGCAUGUAAUUGCAUUGGCCAGUGCUGUUCCACGGGAGAGUGCUGUAAUGGUGGAUCAUGCUGUGUAAAUCAGUGCUCAAAUUCCGCGUGCAAGUCUUCGUCCAACAGCUGUUGCACCAACGGAUGUUCAUGCACUGAGGGAAACUGUAAGUGCUAGAAGGAUCUCUGCUCUUUGCUCCGGAACGGAAGGUUGUUAAAUGCAGCUCUAAUUUAUAUAUGACGUCUCUUCUGCCGAUGUAUACCUCGUGGAUUUGACAUGUAUAUUGUUUAUACCACAUGCCAGAUUUUUUUUAUGUAUCAUAUGUAUAUUUACUCUUUGUAAAAAAUAAUAAAGUAAGUUAUUAAAAAUGGUGACACAAAUGCUUUACUAUAAAUAGUUAAGAGAUUACAUUGCAUUUAUAUGUUUUGUUACUUUUUUAUUAUCCCUGUAUUACAUUCUUCAAUGAUGUUAUAUAUGAACUUUGAAAAACUGGGACCAUUUUGAAAGACUCAAUGUGAUUAAACAUAUUUAAGUAAUUGAAA
RNAcentral lists this long non-coding RNA (647 nucleotides) under Lytechinus variegatus (green sea urchin). Its description in RNAcentral is "uncharacterized LOC121413372". Lineage: Eukaryota; Metazoa; Echinodermata; Echinoidea; Temnopleuroida; Toxopneustidae. The record is from RNAcentral.